Molecule: long non-coding RNA, 752 nt
Organism: Trifolium pratense (red clover)
Lineage: Eukaryota; Viridiplantae; Streptophyta; Magnoliopsida; Fabales; Fabaceae
Exons: 2
Source: RefSeq, a predicted model, not a curated record
UCCCAACAAAAAAUAAAUAAAUUGGUGAUAUAUUUAUCUCUUCCUUCAAUGCAAAAAUAAACACACAUACAACCCGCAGUAAUCAUCAUGUCCUCUUCUCUCUUCCUUCCUUCAUUAUUAUUAUUCUCUCACUUUCAUCAUCACCACCACAUCUUUUACUUCCCACCAACCGCACCAAAGCCAUCAUCAAAUUCUAAUAAGGUCAUCACCAAAACAAUUACAAGAAAGAAAAAAGAGAGAGAUAAGAGUUAGAAGAUGAAGAAGAUGGCUUCAAACAAGAAGAAGAAACCCUAGCUACCAAGGGUGAUAUAUAAUAUAUCUUCUUCUUCUUAAUUCAAUUCAUAUGCUUAUCAUCAUCAUCAUCAUGCUACUUUCUUCUCUUCUCGGGGAAUUGAAGCUUUAUGGUCCGAUUGUUUGCUAGAUCAAGCAAGUUUACUAUAUGGUUGCACGAUCUCUCUAUAUAAAUGGAUUUCUUUUUAUUUUUUGGUUUUUUUUUUCAAACUUUGAAUUUAUAUGGAUUGAUUAUAUAUUUGUGUUUAUGUUUAGAUUGGUAUUUUCUAUAUGAUAACAAGAGGAUGAUUUGUUUAUGUGUGAUUGUGUUUUGAGAGCUAUAUAUAUAUUACUAUGUAUAAGAUAAUAAAUGUAAUUCUUCUUCAUAAGAAUAGUAAGGUUGGAUUGCUCCAAAAUGUUAUUUUUGUGUGUACUGUAGAGAAUGUAGACUUUAUUAAUGUUGUGACCCCGGUUCAUCAUCA